Molecule: ribosomal RNA, 471 nt
Filed under: uncultured bacterium
Lineage: Bacteria
Description: bacterial SSU rRNA
Rfam family: Bacterial small subunit ribosomal RNA
Source: RNAcentral
GCAGAGCAUCCUACGGGAGGCAGCAGUGGGGAAUAUUGCACAAUGGGCGCAAGCCUGAUGCAGCCAUGCCGCGUGUAUGAAGAAGGCCUUCGGGUUGUAAAGUACUUUCAGCAGUGAGGAAGGUGGGUAUGUUAAUAGCAUAUUCAUUUGACGUUAGCUGCAGAAGAAGCACCGGCUAACUCCGUGCCAGCAGCCGCGGUAAUACGGAGGGUGCGAGCGUUAAUCGGAAUUACUGGGCGUAAAAGCGCAUGCAGGUGGUUUGUUAAGUCAGAUGUGAAAGCCCGGGGCUCAACCUCGGAAUUGCAUUUGAAACUGGCAAACUAGAGUACUGUAGAGGGGGUAGAAUUUCAGGUGUAGCGGUGAAAUGCGUAGAGAUCUGAAGGAAUACCGGUGGCGAAGGCGGCCCCCUGGACAGAUACUGACACUCAGAUGCGAAAGCGUGGGGAGCAAACAGGAUUAGAACCCUGGUAG